This 594-nucleotide ribosomal RNA is filed under the name Subsaxibacter sp. CPCC100562. RNAcentral describes it as "bacterial SSU rRNA". It matches the Rfam family "Bacterial small subunit ribosomal RNA", at positions 95 to 687 of the family's 1533-position model. Lineage: Bacteria; Pseudomonadati; Bacteroidota; Flavobacteriia; Flavobacteriales; Flavobacteriaceae. The record is from RNAcentral.
GUGGCGCACGGGUGCGUAACGCGUAUGCAACCUACCUCUUACAGUGGGAUAGCCCAGAGAAAUUUGGAUUAAUACCGCAUAGUAUAUGUGACCAGCAUUGGUUUCAUAUUAAACAUUUAUGGGUGAGAGAUGGGCAUGCGUUCUAUUAGUUAGUUGGAGUGGUAACGGCACCCCAAGACAGCGAUAGAUAGGGGCCCUGAGAGGGGGAUCCCCCACACUGGUACUGAGACACGGACCAGACUCCUACGGGAGGCAGCAGUGAGGAAUAUUGGACAAUGGGCGAGAGCCUGAUCCAGCCAUGCCGCGUGCAGGAAGACUGCCCUAUGGGUUGUAAACUGCUUUUAUACGGGAAGAAACACCCCCUCGUGAGGGGGCUUGACGGUACCGUAAGAAUAAGGAUCGGCUAACUCCGUGCCAGCAGCCGCGGUAAUACGGAGGAUCCAAGCGUUAUCCGGAAUCAUUGGGUUUAAAGGGUCCGUAGGUGGACCGUUAAGUCAGAGGUGAAAUCCUGCAGCUCAACUGUAGAAUUGCCUUUGAUACUGGCGGUCUUGAAUCAUUGUGAAGUGGUUAGAAUAUGUGGUGUAGCGGUGAAAU